AAAAAGAUAAGCUAAAUAAGCUAUCGGGUUCAUACCCCUAAAAUAGAGGUACUAGCCCUUUUCUUUUUA
This 69-nucleotide transfer RNA is filed under the name Leiodes picea. RNAcentral's name for it is "tRNA-Met". It matches the Rfam family "tRNA". From Rfam's summary of the family: Transfer RNA (tRNA) molecules are approximately 80 nucleotides in length. The record is from RNAcentral. Lineage: Eukaryota; Metazoa; Arthropoda; Insecta; Coleoptera; Leiodidae.